AGGGCACCACCAGGAGUGGAGCCUGCGGCUUAAUUUGACUCAACACGGGAAAACUCACCCGGCCCGGACACUGUAAGGAUUGACAGAUUGAUAGCUCUUUCUUAAUUCAGUGGAUGGUGGUGCAUGGCCGUUCUUAGUUGGUGGACUGAUUUGUCUGGUUAAUUCCGAUAACGAACGAGACUCUCGCCUACUAAAUAGACGGCGUAUCGAAACGUACGCCGAGCCUCUUAGAGGGACAAGCGGCGCCUAGCCGCAUGAAACAGAGCAAUAACAGGUCUGUGAUGCCCUUAGAUGUCCGGGGCUGCACGCGCGCUACACUGAAAGAAUCAGCGUGCAUUGAACCUAGUUCGGAAGAACCGGGUAACCCAAGUAAAUUCUUUCGUGCUUGGGAUAGGGAAUUGCAAUUAUUUCCCUUAAACGAGGAAUUCCCAGUAAAUGCGGGUCAUAAGCUCGCGUUGAUUACGUCCCUGCCCUUUGUACACACCGCCCGUCGCUACUACCGAUUGGAUGACUUAGUGA
This 519-nucleotide ribosomal RNA is filed under the name uncultured eukaryote. RNAcentral describes it as "SSU rRNA". It matches the Rfam family "Eukaryotic small subunit ribosomal RNA", at positions 1161 to 1704 of the family's 1831-position model. The record is from RNAcentral.